RNAcentral lists this small RNA (930 nucleotides) under Histoplasma capsulatum. RNAcentral's name for it is "hypothetical RNA". RNAcentral also lists the same sequence under 1 other name. The record is from RNAcentral. Lineage: Eukaryota; Fungi; Ascomycota; Eurotiomycetes; Onygenales; Ajellomycetaceae.
GCAAUGGAAGUCUUUCGCAACCCCCCCGAACCUUCUUCAUUCAUUCCGCUUGCCGAGCACCAAUCGCAUACUCCGGCAUCGUUCUAUUCAGGACCCCCCAUCCUGCACCAUCUGAGCGAACGUUGUAAAAUAGUGAUUUUGGAAGAAGAAUUAAACAAAUCCACUGCAUUAAAUGGGUUGCGACCGAAUGCCUCCGUAGCUGAAGCUGUGAAUGGCACCUCAGCUAGCGAAGCUUCAACCUCCGCUACCGCUACAUCUACCGACGGUGCGGAUGGGAACAAAGAGAUUGUGAUAGAUGGGGUCGAUGUUUGGGUAACAUCUGAACGUCUCCUUCUCUACUCCCAGCGUGCGAAAACCGGUGUCGCAAUCCCGUACCCAUCAAUCUCCCUGCAUGCGAUUCAACGCCUCCAAAUCCCUAACUCCACUUCACCCGCAACUUCCUCCGUUGCAGAUGAAAAUACAGUGCAGGGUUUAUAUAUGCAACUUUCAGCCGACAGCCAGGACAGCCAGGAGGACGAGGAUAUGGAAGAAGAUAGCACGUGUCUAACAAUAGUGCCUCCGCCUCCCCAACUCCAACCCCCACCACAACCGCAACAACAAGACGAACUCCUCACUACGGAAGAAGAAGAAAAUAAACACAGCCAAACGCCUGCGCAAGAUCUGUUUGCCGCCGUCUCAGCAUGUUCGAACCUGCAUCCUGAUCCAGCAUCGCAACAUGGAAGCGACGAAGAAGGCGACGCGGAUAUGCAGAAUCACCCCACCGAACAGCUGGAUGGUAGUAUCUUGUAUCAGAGAGGGCUGAUCACCCCUGGCAAUAGCACAGGCGGCUUACCGCCUGCGAUGCCGGGGAGUGGAGGUUGGAUUACGGCAGAAAAUAUGCAUGAGUACUUUGAUGAGGAGGGGAAUUGGAAAGGUGGUGAGGAUAUUGGG